CUGCCGACGUCGCCGGCGACGUUUCCGGCCAUCUCGAGCUGCGCCGUCGCUUGGAACAGGUAGCUCUCCUUCCCUUCUAGCUGUUUCCUAGGUUGUGCGAUGACGAUGUCGACGGUGGUUGCCGGAUCGAAGCCGUGAAGUUCCGGGUAAAACCGUGAGUUUUCGACGCCGAUUCCGGCCACUUGCCGUCCGAAUUGGACCUUGGUGUAGUUGAAUAAAGUGUUCCACUCGUCGAGUAGAACCUGUAGCCGGAAGGGUGAGCUCGGGUGUGGAGUUUUUCCGUUCCCGGAAUUUCUCUACACACCCACGCGCUGCCGGCGCGUGUGGCGGCGCGUGGGCGAGGCUGGUGAGGCUGCAAAUUAACCCGAUGAGAUCCUUAGGUUGUCACGAGCGCAUAGGAUUUUGCGGAUCUCAAUUCGGAUGUCGUUUGACUAUCGAACGGAUUUUCGCAUAUUGUGCGUUAUCCGGGUUCGAUAGGUUCCGACCGUUAGAUCCUUCCCGAAUUAAAAUAUGUUGUUCUAGGUAUUCUUAGGAUCGUAUAGGACUUCGCGGAUUGUGAAUCGGAACCCCGGAUGUUCCGAUUCAAUAACUUAAAGUUUGUGUUUUAUAUUAACCGUCCGAUUGUGCGAUCGUAAGCGAUCUAACUGUCCGUUUCGGACCAAACUUGCGAGACGGGUAUCUUAGACCUUGUGGAACCUUUAGGAACUUUCGGAUUGUAAAAUGGAGGUCGUGGGUCCCGUGGGUCCCGUGGGCCCGGUUGACCCGAAUUGGGAAGUUUGACCGUCGGUUGACCGAGUGUCUCCCGAAGCUGUUCCAUCGUCCAAAUUGGGUAGUUGGACCUUAGAACGUCGCGUUCCUAGUACACUUACUAAGAACCUGGGAAAUUAGGAUAUUUAAUUCAAAGUACUCGUUCGAAACGCUUCGUAUUAAUCUCGUGUACGUAUUCUGAAUUAGGUACUCCGACCACACAUACGCAGCAGGCGGGACCCUCUCAGGGUCAAGCAGCGUGGGACUACUUGUGAGUGGACUUUGUUUUCAAAUCUUAUGCAUGGUUUUAUUAAUGAAAGAUUUAUGCAUAAUGUUUUAACGAUUUAUUGAAUAUAUUAUAUUCAUGGGUUGAAUUUGAUGUCUAUAUAGCGCUUUGGCAUAGUUGGGUAUCGAAAGUAUAUUUAUAUGGAUUUUGGGAAAUAUUAUGCAUGAUGUUUUAAAUGGUAUUUUUGGAUAUAUUAUUUAUUCAGUUGUUGAAAGGGAUAUUUUUAUGAGGCAUUGAAAAUAUAUUUUGGGUUUUAACAUAUUUGAGUAUCUUGAGUAUGAAUAUAUGGAUUUGAGGAUUUCUAUAUAUAUUUGGUUAUGUGCGAGGUACUUGGGUUGUUGAGAUGAGAUUGUGGAAAGUGGUGAGUAUAGAAUGUCAGUUUGGUGUGCUAUAAGCACUACCCUAUGUACCUCCCCUGAUUUGGAACUUGGAUAUGGAUACUUGAGAUACUUGGAAGAAUCGGAACCCGGGGCAUCCUUGACGGGAUGUUGCUGUAGACCCUUGAUUGGGUAGUCUGCGCGCGUAGGACUGAUCACAGACAUACGGGUUUUGAGGUUAUCGACGGUACGUGCUGGCUGAGAGUUGGUCCCCCAGUUGGACGGCUCGUUCCCUAGUCACAUGGUGGAUUGAGGACUCAUCAUGAGGACUCUGCCAGGGUGACUAGUCAAACAAUCCCCCGGUUGGAUUGUUUCCCCGGUACAACUAGGUGAUGGUCAUAUUUAUAUUAUAUAUAUCUCUUAUAUUAUAUAUUUAUAUAUAUAAUCCAUUCAUUUAUGUUUUUCGGUGAGGAUACUUCUUUGCCGGUCGUGCCAAUGGGUACGCUUUCGAGAGUUUGGUUGUGGGACUUAUAAGUUUUGGAUGGUGGGUUUUAUAAAGUGUUCUUUUUGGAUUUUGGACUUGGCAUCUGGUAUUGAUUUGUUUUUAUAUAUUAUAUAUAUUAUAUUAUAUAUAUAUACUUGAGUAUGAAGGUUUUAAGAUGCAUGGAAUUUCUUGCAUGGUUUUCUAAACGGUGGGGUUAUAUUACGUUGGUUUACACUGAACUGAAUUUAUUUUUGUCCACUCACAAUUUUCUGUUUUGCGCCCCCCAGCCAGUAGUUGACUGAGCUCCGCAGCAGAACCGGAUCGUGCGCUUCCGAGCCUUGAGCCUUCGUAGGAUUCUUUCUUCAUGUUAUUUCCUUUGAACUCUGUUUUGUUGAAAUUGAAGUUCUUAGACAUGCUCUGUUAUCGCCCUGUUAGGGUUUGAUUUGUGAGGCCUGAGGCCAUUUCAUUGUAAAUUGUUUGUUCGUUUUAAAGCAUGCUGCUGGUUGGGUUUGUUUUGUAUUUUGUUGCAGGUUGAAAUUUGUUGGGUUUCUUAAAUUUAUAGGGGGGACUCUGCCAAAAUUUUGGUAAAGAGUCUCGGUUUCUAGUAAGUGGGCCCGGCAUCGGGGUGAUGUCGGAACAAAGACGGG
RNAcentral lists this long non-coding RNA (2481 nucleotides) under Prunus dulcis (almond). Its description in RNAcentral is "sRNA ncRNA". Lineage: Eukaryota; Viridiplantae; Streptophyta; Magnoliopsida; Rosales; Rosaceae. The record is from RNAcentral.